UACGUAGGGUGCAGGCGUUAAUCGGAAUUACUGGGCGUAAAGCGUGCGCAGGCGGUUUCUUAAGUCAGAUGUGAAAUCCCCGGGCUCAACCCGGGAACUGCGUCCGAUACUGGGGGGCUUGAAUCCGGGAGAGGGAUGUGGAAUUCCAGGUGUAGCGGUGAAGUGCGUAGAUAUCUGGAGGAACACCGGUGGCGAAGGCGGCAUCCUGGACCGGUAUUGACGCUGAGGCGCGAAAGCCAGGGGAGCAAACGGG
Molecule: ribosomal RNA, 253 nt
Filed under: uncultured bacterium
Lineage: Bacteria
Description: partial 16S ribosomal RNA
Rfam family: Bacterial small subunit ribosomal RNA
Source: RNAcentral